UUGGCCUUGACAUACUAAGAACUUUCCAGAGAUGGAUUGGUGCCUUCGGGAACUUAGAUACAGGUGCUGCAUGGCUGUCGUCAGCUCGUGUCGUGAGAUGUUGGGUUAACGUCCGCAACGAGCGCAACCCUUUUCCUUAUUUGCCAGCGGGUAAUGCCGGGAACUUUAAGGAUACUGCCAGUGACAAACUGGAGGAAGGCGGGGACGACGUCAAGUCAUCAUGGCCCUUACGGCCAGGGCUACACACGUGCUACAAUGGUCGGUACAAAGGGUUGCUACCUCGCGAGAGGAUGCUAAUCUCAAAAAGCCGAUCGUAGUCCGGAUCGCAGUCUGCAACUCGACUGCGUGAAGUCGGAAUCGCUAGUAAUCGCGGAUCAGAAUGCCGCGGUGAAUACGUUCCCGGGCCUUGUACACACCGCCCGUCACACCAUGGGAGUUUGUUGCACCAGAAGUAGGUAGUCUAACCGCAAGGAGGACGCUUACCACGGUGUGGCCGAUGACUGGGGUGAAGUCGUAACAAGGUAAGCGUAGAUGA
This 535-nucleotide ribosomal RNA is filed under the name uncultured bacterium. RNAcentral describes it as "bacterial SSU rRNA". It matches the Rfam family "Bacterial small subunit ribosomal RNA", at positions 975 to 1509 of the family's 1533-position model. The record is from RNAcentral.